GACGAACGCUGGCGGCGUGCUUAACACAUGCAAGUCGAACGGAAAGGCCCUGCUUUUGUGGGGUGCUCGAGUGGCGAACGGGUGAGUAACACGUGAGUAACCUGCCCUUGACUUUGGGAUAACUUCAGGAAACUGGGGCUAAUACAGGAUAGGAGCUCCUGCUGCAUGGUGGGGGUUGGAAAGUUUCGGCGGUUGGGGAUGGACCCGCGGCUUAUCAGCUUGUUGGUGGGGUAGUGGCUUACCACGUGUUUGACGGGUAGCCGGCCUGAGCGGGUGACCGGGCACAUUGGGACUGGGAGAAGGCCCAGACGCCUACGGGAGGCAGCAGGGGGGAAUAGUGCACGAUGGGCGGAAGCCUGAUGCAGCAACGCCGCGUGCGGGAUGACGGCCUUCGGGUUGUAAACCGCUUUCGCCUGUGACGAAGCGUGAGUGACGGUAAUGGGUAAAGAAGCACCGGCUAACUACGUG
RNAcentral lists this ribosomal RNA (468 nucleotides) under uncultured bacterium. RNAcentral's name for it is "partial 16S ribosomal RNA". It matches the Rfam family "Bacterial small subunit ribosomal RNA", at positions 28 to 507 of the family's 1533-position model. The record is from RNAcentral.